RNAcentral lists this microRNA (23 nucleotides) under Xenoturbella bocki. RNAcentral describes it as "Xbo-Mir-10-P3_3p (mature (guide))". The record is from RNAcentral. Lineage: Eukaryota; Metazoa; Xenacoelomorpha; Xenoturbellidae.
ACAGGGUUAGAGCUUCAGGUACC